UACAGAGGGUGCGAGCGUUAAUCGGAAUUACUGGGCGUAAAGCGCACGUAGGUGGCGACGUAAGUCAGGUGUGAAAUCCCCAGGCUCAACCUGUGAACUGCAUCCGAUACUGGAUGGCUUGAAUCCGGGAGAGGGAUGCAGAAUUCCAGGUGUAGCGGUGAAAUGCGCAGAUAUCAGGAGGAACACCGGUGGCGAAGGCGGGUCUCUGGGCCGAUACUGACGCUGAGGAGCGAAAGCGUGGGGAGCGAACAGG
RNAcentral lists this ribosomal RNA (253 nucleotides) under uncultured bacterium. Its description in RNAcentral is "partial 16S ribosomal RNA". It matches the Rfam family "Bacterial small subunit ribosomal RNA", at positions 524 to 776 of the family's 1533-position model. The record is from RNAcentral.